CAGUAAUUAGGUGCUAUAUUAGUUAUUUGCCACUUGUAUUGGACUUUCUUUCUUUGUCAUUCUUUCAAUAAAUUUGAUAUUUUAUUUAAUAUUUUAUGUCUCCCCACCAACAAGUAUGCUCUAUAUAAUGGUGAAUUUUACAUGGGCAAUCACCAGUAAUUUUCUUAAGGAUAUGUGUAAUUAUUUUAUGUGCAUUGUUUACCUUCAGUGGUGGGGAAUCCACUCUGAUUUCUGCUUUUAUUAGAGGCCAUUUCUCGUCUGCUCCCACAUGAAAAAGCCCAGUGAGUGGCAGAGCGUUGAAUACCACCUCUCUUAUACUGACUCAUCUGUUCCUCUCUCUCUUCACACUCUUGAGGAUGAAAGAAAAAUAUUGAGGAUGUGAGCAGUCCCUUCACCUUUAAGAGUUAUCUUCAAAAUGGAGCUUGUUCUUUGUCCUAAGUUUCAGUCUGAGCGCGAGAGGUCCUGCUGCACUCAACUGCCGGCAUUUACACUCCGUCCUCUCUCACGGCACACCUUCCUGUGGAGAUUGGCUCACUUCGAUUCCUCUAAGAUGAAUGUCUCUUUGAACCUCUUGUGGCAUUUGAGUGAACUGCAGUUACCGGUUCCAGCUCUGUGGUGAUUCAUCGAAUGGGAACUUCAGAGGAAUUUGCUGCAUCACAGACCAAAUCUGUUCAGGUUUUCAUGUGUACACAACAUUCCUUUGAUGUGACCAACAAGAGUAUAUGAAUGAUGUCUCUUGAGAGAGAUCUGUUUACUGGUUCUCAAUUACUUUUGGUCUUUCUGUUUAUCCAUCAUCUUAGGCUCACUUUCACAGUCUCUCCACCACUGUUGUUUCAUACAGCGAUUUGUAUGAAUAAUUUAUGCCACAUUGCUUCGCCGUCAUUAAAGGUGACCUUGGUUAAUUAUUGAUCAGGUCAGAUGAUUACAGUCCUGACCUCUAGGUUCUCGUCUACCGCUCGGCUCAGUUUUCAUGUUACGCUCUACGGGGGGGGGGGGGGGGGGGGGGGUGUGUAAAAUUACAGAUAAUCCCAACGCCAAGACUAUUACUUUGUUUUAAUGAAAUAUGUAAGAGGUAAUGUAUAGUCAGUUAGUCAUCACUGAAUAAACCUUGACAGGGUGAUCAGGUUGAGCCCCUGAAGGGGUUUAUUUGUUUUUUGUUACAUUGAUCGUCUGACUAUUACCCUGAUACUUGUCAAAUAAAUACAUAAAUGGACAUGAAAUAUUGUUUUUUGUUAUGUUUUUAUCUGAGAAGAGAGCAUGUGAUUGACGGAGUAUAACAAGGAAAUAAUAAUACAGUUUAGCAGCUAUUAUUUAAAAAAAAAAUGCUGUUUUCAACAUUAAUCAAUUAUUUCUGAAGGAUCAUGUGACGCUUAAUAUUGGAGUAAUGCCUGCAGAAAAUUCAACACUGCCAUCACAAAGGAAUAAAUUCCAUUUUACAAUAUAUUAAAAAUUAACAAUUAUUUGUUAUAAUGUGAGAAGAAAGAGACCACGGAUUGAUUGAAAAGACAUUAGAAUCGAGCAGAAAAUCUGAUUAGUUGGUGGGUACAUCAGAAUGGGCUCUAUAUCUGACAUGCAGACUGAUGACCUGCUAAAUGUUGGUCCACUGAAUGAAAAGGAUGGGAGGAACGUCAUCUUGACCUUUCGAAGGCACUCCCUCAUCGCUAUGGCCCUUUGGCCCGAAUGCUUUAAUAAGCCCUCAUGAAAUUAAUCCUUAAUGUGUGCCAGUGUGCUGACUCAACAGCCGUCGCGCGGGUCAAUCUUGAACAAUCUUGGAGUAAUCAUGAUUAUUCUGACCCUGGCUGCCCCAAACUGAGGUUGAGUCGGGUCAGGAAUGAAGCACCUGUCACUUGUAUAUAAUUUGCAAGAGAAUGAUGAAUGUGGCUGUAAAGGCUAAAUCACUACAGAAUUAGCUCCAAUGAUGAGCAUGUAAUGACCUCAUGAUUUACAAUAGCUGUUUGCCUAGUGUUGUGUUACAUUAGCGUGCUUGUUUGGACUUCAGCAGCCUGUAAAGUUCACAUGGUCACACCGUAGCACCUCAACCCCUGUUAAAGCACUUGUCACUGAAGUUAUAGCCGCAGAGGGAUGCUUUUACAUCUCUCUCUGUUCACAGACCUGUAGUGGAGUGGAGACAGUGAGAAUGUGCUGACAGUCUGAGGCACACUGACUCUCUGGGGUGACCAGACGGCUCGUGCUGACUCAGCACCAAUCACUGUCCUCCUCCCCUCGCUCAGUGAUGUCUGACGGCAUUCA
Molecule: long non-coding RNA, 2250 nt
Organism: Sinocyclocheilus grahami
Lineage: Eukaryota; Metazoa; Chordata; Actinopteri; Cypriniformes; Cyprinidae
Source: Ensembl